GAUGAACGUUGGCGGUGUGCCUAAUACAUGCAAGUCGAACGGAGAUUGUAGCAAUACGGUCUUAGUGGCGAACGGGUGAGUAACGCGUUGGUGAUCUGCCUCGAAGUGUGGAAUAACGAUUCGAAAGAAUCGCUAAUACCGCAUAGUCUCUCUUUUUCCAGAAAUUUGAGAGUAAAGGAUUUAUUCGCUUUGAGAGGAGCCUGCGUCCCAUCAGCUAGUUGGUAAGGUAAUGGCCUACCAAGGCGAUGACGGGUAGGGGACCUGAGAGGGUGGCCCCCCACAAUGGAACUGAAACACGGUCCAUACACCUACGGGUGGCAGCAGUAGGGAAUAUUAGAAAUGGACGAAAGUCUGAUCUAGCAACACCGCGUGUGCGAAGAAGGCCUUCGGUUGUAAAGCACUUUUGGUAAGGAUUAGAAGGAAUGUACUUCCAGAAUAAGUACUCGGCUAACUACGUG
RNAcentral lists this ribosomal RNA (458 nucleotides) under uncultured bacterium. Its description in RNAcentral is "bacterial SSU rRNA". It matches the Rfam family "Bacterial small subunit ribosomal RNA", at positions 28 to 507 of the family's 1533-position model. The record is from RNAcentral.